GAUGAAGAACGCAGCGAAAUGCGAUAAGUAAUGUGAAUUGCAGAAUUCAGUGAAUCAUCGAAUCUUUGAACGCACAUUGCGCCCGCCAGUAUUCUGGCGAGCAUGCCUGUUCGAGCGUCAUUUCAACCAUCAAGCCCCAGGCUUGUGUUGGAGCCCUGCGGCUGCCGGCCUCCCAAAACCAGUGGCGGGCUCGCUAUCACACCGAGUGCAGUAGUUUACUCUUCGCUCAGGGCGUGUGGCGGGUGCUAGCCGUGAAACCCCCAACUUCUCAAGGUUGACCUCGGAUCAGGUAGGAAUACCCGCUGAACUUAAGCAUAUCAAUAACGGAGGA
Molecule: unclassified non-coding RNA, 331 nt
Filed under: soil metagenome
Description: partial contains 5.8S ribosomal RNA, internal transcribed spacer 2, and large subunit ribosomal RNA
Rfam family: 5.8S ribosomal RNA (bases 1-120)
Source: RNAcentral